GUGGGGAAUAUUGGACAGUGGGCGAAAGCCUGAUCCAGCCAUGCCGCGUGUGUGAAGAAGGUCUUCGGAUUGUAAAGCACUUUAAGUUGGGAGGAAGGGUAGUAACCUAAUACGUUGCUACUUUGACGUUACCGACAGAAUAAGCACCGGCUAACUUCGUGCCAGCAGCCGCGGUAAUACGAAGGGUGCAAGCGUUAAUCGGAAUUACUGGGCGUAAAGCGCGCGUAGGUGGUUCAGUAAGUUGGAAGUGAAAUCCCCGGGCUCAACCUGGGAACUGCUUUCAAAACUGCUGAGCUAGAGUACGGUAGAGGGUGGUGGAAUUUCCUGUGUAGCGGUGAGAUGCGUAGAUAUAGGAAGGAACACCAGUGGCGAAGGCGACCACCUGGACUGAUACUGAUACUGAGGUGCGAAAGCGUGGGGAGCAAACAGGAUUAGAAACCCCAGUAGUCC
This 450-nucleotide ribosomal RNA is filed under the name uncultured bacterium. Its description in RNAcentral is "partial 16S ribosomal RNA". It matches the Rfam family "Bacterial small subunit ribosomal RNA", at positions 354 to 796 of the family's 1533-position model. The record is from RNAcentral.